GGACAGGGACACCUUGCUGGGACAGGGACACCCUGUGGGACAGGGACACUGUGUGGGACAGGGACACUGCUGGGACAGGGACACUUGAUGGGACAGGGACACUGCUGGGACAGGGACACUUUGUGGGACAGGGACACCCGCUGGUACAGGGACAGCCUGUGGGACAGGGACACCCUGUGGGACAGGCCCACCUUUGUCCCUUUGAGAGUGUCCCUUGUCCCCUCCAAGGCUCCACCGCUGCUAUUUUCAGCUUUGCUUUGCAUCACCACGCAGGUGCUCAGCAGCUCGUUAGUUAUGAACAGCUCGGGAAGGAGUUUUCCCAGUUUUCCCAGUUUUCCCAGUUUUCCCAGUUUUCCCAGCACGUGCAAACGAGGCUGUCAGGAAUGCUGCAGCUCCUCCAGGGGGGCCGGGCUCAUCCCAGAGUGAAUCACGGGGAGCAGUUCCAGGAGUAACCCGGGGUACUGGGGCUCAUCCUGGGGUGAAUCACAGGGAGCAAUUCCCGGGGGCUGUUCCCCAAUGUCACCUUGAGGUUGUGACAAACACGGCCCAAGAGGAGCAAAAAAAGAUCCUGGAUGGCUCCUGGGCUGCCUGGGGCUCCGGAGCUCAUCCCAGGGUGAAUCACGGGGAGCAGUUCCCCAGUGUCACCUGGAGGAUGUGACAAACACAGCUGGAGAGGAGCAACCCUGGUGACAAAGAUCUCCGAUGGCUCUUGGGCUGUGUGAGGCUGGCCCGGGAGGGGACAGAAGUGACACAGGGGAUGCUCCAGGGUGGGGAUGGCCUCACUCAGCCCCUCCUGAGUGCCACCCCCCGUUUGUGUCCCCGCAGAUCUGUACACAGCCCCCGACUCGUGCGAGGGACGCUGCGGGGAGCCCUUCAAUGAGGAGGACGAGUGUCACUGUCACCCCGAGUGCGGGGCAGAGCACAACUGCUGCGAGGACCACGAGAGGCACUGCGGGCCCGGUGGGGAAAGCGCCGAGGGAGGAGCUCGAAGCCGGGGUGAGUCCGGAGGGACAGAACCAUCCCUGGGUGCCUCGGGGUGUCCCCUCCAUUCCUUGGGGUGUCCCCUCAGGUGCAUUGGGGUGUCACCCUCUAUUUCUCGGUGUGUGUCCCCCAUUCCUUGGGGUGUCCCUUCAGGUGCCUCGCGGUGUCACCCUCUAUUUCUUUGUGUGUGUCCCCCAUUCCUCAGGGUGUCACCCUCAGGUAUCUUGGGGUGUCCCCCUCUAUUCCUCAGGAUGUCCCCCUUUAAUUCUUGGGGUGUUCCCCUCCAUUCCUUGAUGCGUCCCCCGUUCCUCUGGGAAUCCCGUCCCAUUUCCAUGGAUCCAGCUGGAUCCCUCUCACCUUUCCAUGGAUCCUCUGGAUCCCCUUCACUUUUCCAUGAAUCCCAGAGCUGUCCCCAGCCCCUGCCUGUCCCCACAGGGACAUCCUCACUUUUCAAUGGAUCCUCUGGAUCCCACUCCCUUUUUCAUGGAUUCAGCUGGAUCCCUUCCGUUUUCCAUGGAUCCCCUUCACCUUUCCAUGGAUCCUGCUGGUUCCC
RNAcentral lists this long non-coding RNA (1534 nucleotides) under Zonotrichia albicollis (white-throated sparrow). RNAcentral's name for it is "lncRNA (ENSZALG00000005084.1)". Lineage: Eukaryota; Metazoa; Chordata; Aves; Passeriformes; Passerellidae. The record is from RNAcentral.